AAUGUUAAAUAUGGGAAGUUUACUUUCUGUAUUACAGCUAACGCGUUAAACAUUCCGCCUGGGGACUACGGUCGCAAGAUUAAAACUCAAAGGAAUUGACGGGGACCCGCACAAGCGGUGGAGCAUGUGGUUUAAUUCGAUGCAACGCGAAAAACCUUACCACUUCUUGACAUGGAAAUCAUACCUAUUCGAAGGGAUAGGGUCGGUUCGGCCGGAUUUUACACAAGUGUUGCAUGGCUGUCGUCAGCUCGUGUUGUGAAAUGUUGGGUUAAGUCCCGCAACGAGCGCAACCCUCAUCCUUAGUUGCUAUCAGGUAAUGCUGAGUACUUUAAGGAAACUGCCAGUGAUAAGCUGGAGGAAGGUGGGGAUGAUGUCAAGUCAUCAUGGCCUUUAUGGAGUGGGCUACACACGUGCUACAAUGGUGUCUACAAUGGGCUGCAAGGUGCGCAAGCCUAAGCUAAUCCCUAAAAGACAUCUCAGUUCGGAUUGUACUCUGCAACUCGAGUACAUGAAGUUGGAAUCGCUAGUAAUCGUGGAUCAGCAUGCCACGGUGAAUACGUUCUCGGGUCUUGUACACACUGCCCGUCACGCCAUGGGAAUUGGUUUCACUCGAAGCUAAUGGCCUAACCGCAAGGAAGGAGUUAUUUAAAGUGGGAUCAGUGACUGGGGUGAAGUCGUAACAAGGUAGCAGUAGGGGAAUCUGCAGCUG
Molecule: ribosomal RNA, 709 nt
Filed under: Wolbachia endosymbiont wVitB of Nasonia vitripennis
Lineage: Bacteria; Pseudomonadati; Pseudomonadota; Alphaproteobacteria; Rickettsiales; Anaplasmataceae
Description: bacterial SSU rRNA
Rfam family: Bacterial small subunit ribosomal RNA
Source: RNAcentral